RNAcentral lists this ribosomal RNA (505 nucleotides) under uncultured bacterium. RNAcentral's name for it is "bacterial SSU rRNA". It matches the Rfam family "Bacterial small subunit ribosomal RNA", at positions 338 to 835 of the family's 1533-position model. The record is from RNAcentral.
CCUACGGGAGGCAGCAGUAGGGAAUAUUGCACAAUGGGCGAAAGCCUGAUGCAGCAACGCCGCGUGCGCGAUGACGGCCUUCGGGUUGUAAACCACUUUUGGCGGGGGCGAAAUAUCGAGUGCUAAUACCAUUCGGUGAUGACGGUACCCGCAGAAUAAGCACCGGCUAACUACGUGCCAGCAGCCGCGGUAAUACGUAGGGUGCAAGCGUUAAUCGGAAUUACUGGGCGUAAAGCGUGCGCAGGCGGUUGAGUAAGACAGAUGUGAAAUUCCCGGGCUCAACCUGGGAACUGCAUUUGUGACUGCUUGACUAGAGUGCGGCAGAGGGGAGUGGAAUUCCGCGUGUAGCAGUGAAAUGCGUAGAUAUGCGGAGGAACACCGAUGGCGAAGGCAACUCCCUGGGCCUGCACUGACGCUCAUGCACGAAAGCGUGGGGAGCAAACNGGAUUAGAUACCCUGGUAGUCCACGCCCUAAACGAUGUCGACUAGUUGUUGGACGGGAUAC